Molecule: long non-coding RNA, 267 nt
Filed under: Arabidopsis lyrata
Lineage: Eukaryota; Viridiplantae; Streptophyta; Magnoliopsida; Brassicales; Brassicaceae
Description: long non-coding RNA (ALYR_LNC002057)
Source: RNAcentral
CAAUUGACAAUUCCUUCCGACCCUUAUUAGAUCCACGACGGACGACACUUCCUUCUUCAUGCUCUUGACGGACAUCUUCAAUGAUCCACAACCUGACGACACUUCUCUCUCUGUGUAGAAUCUUGGCGAACGACUAUAAUUGUACAUCGCUGGAGAUCUCCUGCACACUUGCCUCCAUUAAUCUGCCAAUUUAUUAAUAAAUCGCAUUGCCUGGGACUCGAACCCCAAACCUCUUGGUGUAGAAGCAUUAAUUAACUCUUAGUCAAC